Molecule: ribosomal RNA, 160 nt
Filed under: uncultured bacterium
Lineage: Bacteria
Description: partial 16S ribosomal RNA
Rfam family: Bacterial small subunit ribosomal RNA
Source: RNAcentral
UGGGGAAUAUUGGACAAUGGGCGCAAGCCUGAUCCAGCCAUGCCGCGUGUGUGAAGAAGGCCUUCGGGUUGUAAAGCACUUUUGUCCGGAAAGAAAUCCUGUCGGUUAAUACCCGGCGGGGAUGACGGUACCGGAAGAAUAAGCACCGGCUAACUUCGUG